UUGUUUGGAGAUAUUUAGGUUUAUAAUUCAUAAGUGUGCAUAAAGAUAUUUUAGAAAAAAUGCAAGAUUGCACUAGAUCUUAUGAAUUGACUUUAUGGAUUAAGCUAAUUAAUUAAUUAUAGCCCAAUAAGGCUAAUUGAUUAAUUAGGAUUCAAGUAAGUUGGAUUAGAUGACCUAAGUCCAAUUUGAGCUUAAGUCACUUAAACUCAUAGAUAAACCCCCUUAGGGGUUUAAGAUUAAGAUUUUUGUUUGUAAUACUCCAUAGAGCCUUUAAAGAGAAACCUUAGCCAUCCUCAUGGGAGAGAGAGAAGUUCACCUUUCUCUUAUGUCUAGACCUAUGGAGGG
Molecule: long non-coding RNA, 345 nt
Filed under: Vitis vinifera (wine grape)
Lineage: Eukaryota; Viridiplantae; Streptophyta; Magnoliopsida; Vitales; Vitaceae
Description: long non-coding RNA (VVIN_LNC001816)
Source: RNAcentral